GCACUGGUAGUUUAGUGGUAGACUUCUCACCUUCCAUGUGGGAAACCUGGGUUCUAUUUCUGGCAAAUGCA
RNAcentral lists this transfer RNA (71 nucleotides) under Loxodonta africana (African savanna elephant). It matches the Rfam family "tRNA". From Rfam's summary of the family: Transfer RNA (tRNA) molecules are approximately 80 nucleotides in length. Their secondary structure includes four short double-helical elements and three loops (D, anti-codon, and T loops). Lineage: Eukaryota; Metazoa; Chordata; Mammalia; Proboscidea; Elephantidae. The record is from Rfam by way of RNAcentral.